GGGCGCCGAGCAGCCACCACAGAAACAGGAGGAGAGGAGAAGAGAAGAGAGGAGAGGAGAGGAGAGGAGAGGAGAGGUGGAAGAGAGGAGAGGAGGAAGAGAGCAGGAAGGAGUGCGCUCACCUUGGGAGGAGCAAGUCAAGAUGAGGAGUAAACUGAUGUAGAAGUGGCUCCACACACAGACGCACACACACACACACACACAAACACGCUGUCUCUAUACAGCAUGGAGGAGAUGUGCAAGCUGGAUUAGUGAUGGAUGCAGUCUGUACUGUGAGACCGGAGGAGGAAGUAAGUUUGUUCAGAUGGACGUGGAGACUAACAGAGGGCAAUAGGAGUGGGAGCCGGAGUGAGGAUUCUCAGACAGAGGCGCUGAAUGGGCUGCAGUGGCAGGGACUGGAUGUUUGGUCAGGCUGGAGGGGAAGCUGAAGAGAGCACUCAGAGGACCUCAGACUGGGCCGAAGGUUUACCUUCCAACAGGACAAUGACCCUAAGCACACUGCCCAGACCAUGCCGGAGUGGCUCAGGGACAACUCUGUGAACAUCCUUGCCCUGACUUGAACCCACUCAAACAUCUCUGGAGAGACCUGAAGAUGGCUGUCCACCGACAGUCCCCAACUGACGGAGCUUCAGAGGUUCUGCAGAGAAAAAUGGCAGAAUCCCCAAAUCCAGCUAUAUUGUUAUGCAGCUAUGAAGAAUGUAUCAAGCCAGUAGUUCACAGAGCAGAAGCAGAGGCUAUCAUCAGGCCAGUGAUGUGAUCUUCCUUCAGGUGAGCUCUUAAGUAUCACCAUCAAAGCCUAAGUCAAUGAGGAGCGUUGGAGGGAGUCUGGAUGCUGGCCCAAGGAGUGAGAGCAUCUGUGCUGGACACAACCCCAAUACACUGGACCUGCUCAACCAUUACACAGAUUUGAGACCUUGCUGUUAAGAUGAAAGAUGUGUGUUCAUAUGCAUGUACAACAUGAUGUUUGGAGGGCUUGCUGUUCUUACUGAAUAUGUGCUGGCAAUACGUCUGGAGCACUGGGCACACGCUUAGUGUUACCGGUACAAGGACAGAGGACUGUGCUGUUUCAUGUUGUGGUUGUCGUCCUGGGUAUUAAAGUCUCAGCUAAUUCUGUCAUUUUGUCUGCGCUGUAUCCAAAGCAGUCAAUUUGCUAAGUGUAUGUAGGCCCGAGCAACAGCCCCAGUUCAGAAGUCACUCCUGGGCCCCAGGCCUCACAUGCAGUAACACCGCCCCCUCUGGACUGGAGCAUGGGACAGGUACAGACUUAUAACUAACUCUUAGACAUUACCAUACCUAUGGCCAAUCAACAAAACUGAUGACUUUUGAGGGCUGUCUUCAAAAAAUAUCCGUGAAAGGUACCUAAGUAAAGAUAAGCAGGUCUUUUAAAUGUUUGGAUAUUUUCUUAGAUGUUGAUGGACCAGUCCAAUUAUGUGUAAAUACAGGCUUUUUGCAGCUCUUUGAUUGCUAGCCAUACUCUUUUCUGCUAUGACAUAAUUUGCUUUGUUGUUUUCUUCAAUAGCGCUCCAAUGACAUCAUUGUGUUGAAACUGAACAAAAGGCAUUGGGAAAAAAAGAAUAUGAGAGGUUCAGGAACGACCAUUACAUGAAUUGGAAAUAUUAUCCAGAGCAGGGAAAAGCUAUGAAUGUCUUUCUCCUAAUAAGUGUUUGCAUUUGAUCUGUAAUGUGGUGAUUAACUGUGUUGACUCUAUAGAACCUGCUGUUGUUCCUGUUUAAAUGGACCGAUAGGCUGCCAAGAUAAUCUGUAAACAUUUUUGUUGAGUGGUGGCACUCUCCUCUAAUUAGUGUGCUGGAUGCAAGAUUAGGCCUUGUAAUUAAUUGAUUAGACGUCUUGGGGCAUGGGUAUAUCAGUUCAAUCUAGACACACUGGUAUACCGGUCGAGCACAUCCCAUCCGAAUAGAAAAUCCAAGAUCUUGACAACAAACUGGAAAGUAAGGACUGUGGUGCACCAGGUUUCACCCUAUCACUUUUUCAACUCUUUUCUUUCUUUCUGUCUGAAGUCAGGUGUUUGGUGUGGCAUAUGUCAGCGUCUUACCUGUCUAGGCAUCCCGGCGUCCCUGCUGUCCUGGGAGUCAGCCAAGCGAUGUCAAUUAGCCGUAAGCCAAUGCCAUGACGCGCUCGGGCUGUACCAGGGCUACUGUAUCAUGUUCUGGCUCCCGCAGAGCGGGGCGCAUCUGCGCGGCACCAGGACGAGCGACACCGUUUACAUGGCUUCAACAGGCUCAUGUUCGGGCGUCUUUCUGAUGCGCCAUGAUAAACCCACACACUACAUACAAGCCAGAAAGGCGAGCCAGAACCCCCAGCUCCAGUUGCUCUCCCGCUAACAUCCCCUCCACACGGUUCCCCUGAUAUCACUCUCUCGUUUUGUCUCCACCACUCUCACAACAAACUCUCUCUUUCGGCCAUUUAUACAAUGUUUUUUCUCUGUAGAUGUCUUUGUUACAUUUUUUUCUCAUAUUCUGAAGAUUUGCCAUUGAUCGUUAUGUAGUGAGAUAAUUGUGGCAACUUUUGAUCUUCUUUGAUUAUAAAACUUGUACUUUGAGAACAAAAAAUGGGAUCUUAAAUAUAUUCUCUAUAGAUGUUUCAGUAGAAUUUAUUCCAUGUUUUUCCAUGUGAAAACAAAUAAUAGUUUUACAUAUGUUUUUUUGUUUUUCAAAUGAAGCAGUUUCAUAAAGCAUUUUCAUAAGGCACAUUUAAUUUGGUUUUUAGGUUCAAGUUUUGGAACUGCAAUAAAUCUUUCCUAUCCUCUCUUUGGGAAACACCAUUCGUCUCUAUGGAGCAUCCGAGAUCCCUCUAUUAGUAAUCUGAUCUGCUCUACCAGUUUGGUGUGCAAAGGUGAGACAAUGUAGAGACAGAAGGCAAUGAAUAUGUCUUCAUCUGUAGACAUCUAAAAUGGGAAUCCAGCUGUUUGUUUGUUUAAAUUGUUGUACGCUGUCACACUGGUGCAUGUUUGUGUAUGUGUACAUUCUGUUGGAGUGACAUUGUGGGUCAGUCAGAACUCAGAAGGUUGUACCUUAAACACAAGCUGCCCUUGACCUCAUCGAGUGUUCAAUGGAGGCUUACCUCCAGGACAAUCAAAAGGUUGUGGGUGUGUGCCGUAUCCAUGCCGCGGGAGCACAAGAAAGAAAAUCUCUUAAUUCUGAGGUAUUGUUCCCUUAAUCCCCCUGUCCAUCACACAUCAGUAAGUGUUUCUUUUCUGGCCGUCCAUCAGGGAGUAAGGAGGCAACUUUCAUCUGGGAUC
This is a long non-coding RNA of Clupea harengus (Atlantic herring), 3259 nucleotides long. NCBI's taxonomy places the organism in Eukaryota, Metazoa, Chordata, Actinopteri, Clupeiformes, Clupeidae. The record is from Ensembl.